AACCAAGUGAAUUAAUAAUUUAAAUGCAUUCAUUUCCACUUCCGUGUUGUGCAGAGUGAGCCGGAAGAAAUGCCUCCAGAAGCGAAGAUGAGGAUGAAGAACAUCGGAAGGGACACGCCAACAUCAGCCGGACCAAACUCCUUUAAUAAAGGAAAGCAUGGCUUUUCCGAUAACCAGAAGCUGUGGGAGCGAAAUAUCAAAUCUCAUCUUGGAAACGUCCACGACCAAGACAAUUAAGAGAAGUGUUCUGAGAUUGGGGUGUGGGCGGGUGCAUUAGAAGGAGCAGUCAGCCUCCUUUUUGUAAAGAAUGGUGUAAGACUAGCUUUGGAGCCGUUUUUCUUUCUUCUUUUUUCUUUUCCUUUUUUCUUUUUUUUUUUUUAAGAUUGAGUGGUACACUAAUAAAUGAGAGUUUGCAAUUAGAGGUAAUUUAUGUUUUAUAUACAGAUUUCAAGACAUUUGCUAAUUUUGUAGUUUCACAUGAUUAGUUUCCAAGGGUUACAGAUAAUAAAGAAAUCAGAAGUGGUACCUUUCUAAGAAUUGCAUAUUUUUUUAGACACAACUAUUAGCACAUUAAGAGGGAAGCCAAAAGUUAUUGCCUACUUCAAAGUGAAAGCAGUUCCUCUCCUGACUUCUCCCCCACAUUACCUGACUGUCUGUCUGGCUCCCUGGAACAGCCUUACGAGAGGGAAUUGGAUUGAGAAGACAAUUGUUACUGGACUAUUGACUGAAAGUAAAUUUAGAUACAAUUAAAAUAAACCUUUUCCUAUGGGCAUUUCACCUUGUUCUGGGCCAUUAUAUGCUAGUACUGCUUCGCUAUCAGUACAGACGCUUUGCUCUUUAAAAACUUUUUUCGUUAAAAAUUCUUGUAU
RNAcentral lists this long non-coding RNA (869 nucleotides) under Rattus norvegicus (Norway rat). Its description in RNAcentral is "long non-coding RNA NONRATT006541". The record is from RNAcentral. Lineage: Eukaryota; Metazoa; Chordata; Mammalia; Rodentia; Muridae.